UACUGGGCUUAAAGGGUGCGUAGGCGGCGCUGUAAGUGCCUUGUGAAAUCCCAUGGCUUAACCAUGGAAUUGCUCGGCAGACUGCAGUGCUUGAGGUUGGUAGGGGUCGCUGGAACUCUAGGUGGAGCGGUGAAAUGCGUAGAUAUCUAGAGGAACGCCAAAGGUGUAGACAGGCGACUGGGCCAAUUCUGACGCUGAGGCACGAAAGCGUGGGUAGCGAACGGGAUUAGAUACCCCGGUAGUCCACGCCCUAAACGAUGUGCACUAGAUCGUGGAGGCUCUGACGCCAUCAUGGUCGAAGUUAAAAUGCUAAGUGCACCGCCUGGGGAGUACGGUCGCAAGGCUAAAACUCAAAGAAAUUGACGGGGGCUCACACAAGCGGUGGAGCAUGUGGCUCAAUUCGAAGCAACGCGAAGAACCUUAUCCUGGGCUUGACAUGUAUGGAUUAGGUCGUGGAAACACGGCUGAGGCCUUCGGGUACAACAUACACAGGUGCUGCAUGGCUGUCGUCAGCUCGUGCUGUGAAGUGUCGGGUUAAGUCCCUUAACGAGCGAAACCCCUAUCUCUAGUUGCCAACAGGUAAUGCUGGGGACUCUAGCGAGACUGCCGGUGUCAAACCGGAGGAAGGUGGGGAUGACGUCAAGUCCUCAUGGCCCUUAUGCCCAGGGCUGCACACGUGCUACAAUGGCGUCGACAAAGCGAAGCAAGACCGCAAGGUGGCGCAGAUCGCACAAACGACGCCCCAGUUCAGAUUGAGGUCUGCAACUCGACCUCAUGAAGUUGGAAUCGCUAGUAAUCGCGGAUCAGCUACGCCGCGGUGAAUAUGUUCCUGAGCCUUGUACACACCGCCCGUCAAGUCAUGGGAGCCGGGAAUACCCGAAGUCGCCU
Molecule: ribosomal RNA, 888 nt
Filed under: uncultured bacterium
Lineage: Bacteria
Description: bacterial SSU rRNA
Rfam family: Bacterial small subunit ribosomal RNA
Source: RNAcentral